RNAcentral lists this ribosomal RNA (466 nucleotides) under uncultured bacterium. RNAcentral's name for it is "partial 16S ribosomal RNA". It matches the Rfam family "Bacterial small subunit ribosomal RNA", at positions 28 to 507 of the family's 1533-position model. The record is from RNAcentral.
GACGAACGCUGGCGGCGUGCUUAACACAUGCAAGUCGAACGGUAAGGCUCCAGCUUGCUGGGGUACACGAGUGGCGAACGGGUGAGUAACACGUGGGUGACCUGCCCUGCACUUCGGGAUAAGCCUGGGAAACUGGGUCUAAUACCGGAUAGGACCAUGGUGUGGAUACUGUGGUGGAAAGUUUUUUCGGUGUGGGAUGGGCCCGCGGCCUAUCAGCUUGUUGGUGGGGUAAUGGCCUACCAAGGCGGCGACGGGUAGCCGGCCUGAGAGGGUGGACGGCCACAUUGGGACUGAGACACGGCCCAGACUCCUGCGGGAGGCAGCAGUGGGGAAUAUUGCACAAUGGGCGGAAGCCUGAUGCAGCGACGCCGCGUGGGGGAUGACGGCCUUCGGGUUGUAAACUCCUUUCACCAUCGACGAAGGGUUUCUGACGGUAGAUGGAGAAGAAGCACCGGCUAACUACGUG